AAUUGUGUGAAUGGUGUUCAGCACCAAGGACAGGCAUGUUUGUGUGUGAAUGGUGUUCAGCACCAAGGACAGGCAUGUUUGCGU
Molecule: microRNA precursor, 84 nt
Filed under: Branchiostoma floridae (Florida lancelet)
Lineage: Eukaryota; Metazoa; Chordata; Leptocardii; Amphioxiformes; Branchiostomatidae
Description: mir-2060 microRNA precursor family
Rfam family: mir-2060 microRNA precursor family
Source: Rfam by way of RNAcentral